Molecule: long non-coding RNA, 519 nt
Organism: Heterocephalus glaber (naked mole-rat)
Lineage: Eukaryota; Metazoa; Chordata; Mammalia; Rodentia; Bathyergidae
Source: Ensembl
AAAAUAUUUUGCAUGAAGUGACCAGUUAACAUCUGUGUAAACAGAAUUUACUAUGUCUGAUCUGGGUUUUUCCUUGAGGACUUGGCUGUCCAACACAACACAAAACAAGAAGUUAAAACUGUCCACAUUGGAAAUCUCUACACUGUCAGACUAGAAGGGAGCUUUUCAACAUCACAAAAUUCCCCAAGUGAAGGAGUAGAAGCCAUUGUACGUCUUUCAAACAGAGCAAGAGAACAAUGGCUAACACUGAUUGGGCACCUGCACGUGCAUAGAAGUCUCACAGCUGUUCUCCACCAAAAAUUGCUAUCACCAUCCUGGCUUUACCGACAAGGAAACUAAGCUCUCUCUUGGGAUGGAUCACAGCUCCCUUCACCUUCAUCACACUCAGGCUCAGCCAAGUGUAAAGUCCAACAAACGUGCAUCCUAGGCCUCGGGCUCCCUGCUGCAGCCCUCCCAUGGGCUGUGUCUAACCAUCUGGAGCCUCGUUUCUUCAUCUGUAAAACGGGGUGAUAUUGACAG